RNAcentral lists this ribosomal RNA (253 nucleotides) under uncultured bacterium. RNAcentral's name for it is "partial 16S ribosomal RNA". It matches the Rfam family "Bacterial small subunit ribosomal RNA", at positions 524 to 776 of the family's 1533-position model. The record is from RNAcentral.
UACAGAGGCCUCGAGCGUUGCGCGGAAUCACUGGGCUUAAAGGGUGCGUAGGCGGACAUACAAGUGCCUUGUGAAAUCCCCGGGCUCAACCCGGGAACUGCUUGGUAGACUGUGUGUCUUGAGGUCGGUAGGGGUCGCUGGAACAGUUGGUGGAGCGGUGAAAUGCGUAGAUAUCAACUGGAACGCCAAAGGCGAAGGCAAGCGACUGGGCCGAUUCUGACGCUGAGGCACGAAAGCGUGGGGAGCAAACGGG